UACGUAGGUGGCAAGCGUUGUCCGGAUUUAUUGGGCGUAAAGGGAGCGCAGGUGGUUUCUUAAGUCUGAUGUGAAAGCCCACGGCUUAACCGUGGAGGGUCAUUGGAAACUGGGAAACUUGAGUACAGAAGAGGAAUGUGGAACUCCAUGUGUAGCGGUGGAAUGCGUAGAUAUAUGGAGGAACACCAGUGGCGAAGGCGACUUUCUGGUCUGCAACUGACGCUGAUGUGCGAAAGCGUGGGGAUCAAACAGG
RNAcentral lists this ribosomal RNA (253 nucleotides) under uncultured bacterium. Its description in RNAcentral is "partial 16S ribosomal RNA". It matches the Rfam family "Bacterial small subunit ribosomal RNA", at positions 524 to 776 of the family's 1533-position model. The record is from RNAcentral.